Sardina pilchardus (European sardine) is the source of this 341-nucleotide long non-coding RNA. RefSeq lists it as uncharacterized. NCBI's taxonomy places the organism in Eukaryota, Metazoa, Chordata, Actinopteri, Clupeiformes, Clupeidae. The record is from RefSeq and is a predicted model, not a curated record. The transcript has 3 exons.
UAAAGAAGUAUAUAAGCUUUCCUCAAAGAUGGGUCAUAGUAUUUGCAACGCUCUUGGAAGGACACGUCUACGUUGUGGCAAGGAGUCAGAAAGACACUGCAAGCAAAAAAAAGCAACUCUGAAAGAUGCCUUGUCAGAACAGGUAAGAUGAUGAUGAAUGUUUUCUUGAAUUUAUGUUUGAAAACUACUUGGAGUAUUAAAAAAAUAUACGGUUUUGAUUUCAGAUGUGAUGAAAGACCAGAAACGCCCUUAUUUUUGGACGAGGAAAAUGAGGAUGAAGUGAGUGACGCUGGAGUCUUCAUUGAUCCUGAUGACAGUGGUGAAUUAAUGGACGAUACGCC